UACAGAGAGUGCGAACGUUGUUCGGAAUUACUGGGCUUAAAGCGCACGUAGGCGGCAUCGUAAGUGUCCGGUGAAAUCCCACGGCUCACCCGUGGAACUGCCUGGCAGACUGCGAUGCUCGAGUGUGGUAGGGGAGAGCGGAACUCCUGGUGGAGCGGUGAAAUGCGUAGAUAUCAGGAGGAACACCGAUGGCGAAGGCAGGCCUCUGGGCUGACACUGACGCUCAUGCACGAAAGCGUGGGGAGCAAACAGG
RNAcentral lists this ribosomal RNA (253 nucleotides) under uncultured bacterium. RNAcentral describes it as "partial 16S ribosomal RNA". It matches the Rfam family "Bacterial small subunit ribosomal RNA", at positions 524 to 776 of the family's 1533-position model. The record is from RNAcentral.